UCAUAUUUUUCUCUCUCUUCUAUUUUGUGGUAUGUUUGGAUAGAGCUCCACCAAUUUCGGUGUUUUGCGGUCUGAGGAUUUUUGUUGUUCUUCUAGCUUUAUAGUUGUCAUUGGUUGUUGAGAGCGGAUUUGCUCUUGUAGCAGUGUUGUGUUCUAUUCUAAGCUCCGGAGAAUAAGCUCCGUUGCAGCUGGUUUUUGUUUUAUUUUAGCGUUGGUGCUCUCUAACUGGGUGCUGUGGUGAUGUGGCAAGUUCUACUCAGCGGUGCUUCUCUCUUCUUCGUUUUUUUCCCGUACUGUUGCAGAGCUUUGCACUUAGGCAGAAUUUGUGAGUUUUUUCUUUUUCCAUACGAUUGAGGGUGCGGCGAUUGUAUUUGACACUGCACCUUGUUGCUAUUUUUAUCUUUUUUUUUUUUUGGCGGACGGCAAGCUCGGUUCGGCGCUAUGGUGCUGCUUCAUUCCUGGUUCUUACAACAACACGUGAUUAGGUGUGCGUAUUAUUCCUGAGCCUCGGACAUCACAGUUGCAGGACUAGACUUCUCUUUCCCUCCGGUUGGAUUUGGACUGCGGCCUCCUACAGCUUCUCGUUUUGGACUUGCAACUGGAAGCUUGAAUUGUUGUAGGGCUAUUCGUGGUUGAUUGCCUCGCUGAAUUUUUUUUGGAGAUCUUAAUUAUUCGAUGAGCAAAGUAGAGGGUACUGGCUGAAUUUACGAUGGCGCUAGUGCAAGAGUCGGUAUUGUGGCGCAGAAGCUUAUAUUGAUUCCAGGGGACUUCUGAUAUGGAUCGGAGAGCGGCCAAGGAGUUUGUGUUGGUUCAUUCUAUUAUGAGCUCAACAAGAGUUCUUGUCCUUAUGCGUAGAUUGCUUCGAUUGGCGAUGCGUCGCAUUUGAUCGAAGUUCUUUGAGUAGAAAUCCGUUGAAGUAGCAUCAGCGUUCGUAUUUAAAUUCAACUUCAUUGGAGUUUUGGUUGCUUGUUUAGUUCACCGAAGGAGUGCGUUUUUGGCGCUUGAAGUGGUAUUUAUCAUUGUGGUAGGCUUCGUUGAAGGAUCCACUUGGCUGUCAUCAUUGAUUUUUGUAUAGUGGAAACUUGAUAGAUUCACAUUGUGUUCAAGGUGACGGAGGCGUGAUUAUCUGGCUGAUUAUCAUUGCUUUGAGGUCUACUGUCAUUAGAGUUUUUGGAGUCGCAAGAGUGAUCAGAGCCACAUGGACAGCAGAACUGUGGAUCGAGUAAAGAAUUGUUUUAUUGCUCAUAUGUACGGUAGAUGCUUGCAAUUGAAGGCUCCUGGGACUUGACGUGGUUACGUCCAGUCAAGUAGAAUUGAUACAAGUUGUCAUCUAGGGUUGGUCCCACUAGGGCAAGAAAUUCACCAACUCUUGGAAGAUUUCUUCUCAGUGAUCACUCAUUGAUCACUGCGACAAUUAGCAAAGCAUAACACAUUUGAAUGGGAAAACAUCCACGAUCAGACAUCCAUAGCUUCCAAUAGCUUGAAGGUUGAGCAAUGUCAUCUAUUUAAGUGCCUGAAUAGCUGAAUCUCUCAGCAACCGCAAGGAGGUUAAACGACUUGCCACCGAUCCGUAGUCUAGAUCCACAGAUUAGAGUUUGUUAAUUGAACCUAAGAGGCCUUGCUGCGGUUCGAGAGUGGGGUGCUAGGAGCCUAGCGGGGAUCAGAAGUCGUUGUGGAGGAGAAAAUCUUGAGGAUUACAGCAGUCAUUGCCGUGGAGCGGGAAAACCCGUUGCAAGCCACAUCACCUUCCUCUCAAUAAGAGUUUCAAGGAAGCUUAGUAAGGAGGAUGAAUUAGGAUCAGGGUUGAAUUAUGAUAGUUGAAUGAAAUUUUUAAUUGAAUGAUAAAUUAUGGAUGAGAAUUAAUUGAAUUUGGAUGAUUUCUCAUUCAAGGAUGAAAAUUCAUUCAUGAAUGAAAAAUUGUUAUAGAUGAAGGUUUAAAUUUG
Molecule: non-coding RNA, 1943 nt
Organism: Physcomitrium patens
Lineage: Eukaryota; Viridiplantae; Streptophyta; Bryopsida; Funariales; Funariaceae
Source: RefSeq, a predicted model, not a curated record